This is a long non-coding RNA of Solanum lycopersicum (tomato), 347 nucleotides long. RefSeq lists it as uncharacterized. Lineage: Eukaryota; Viridiplantae; Streptophyta; Magnoliopsida; Solanales; Solanaceae. The record is from RefSeq and is a predicted model, not a curated record.
AUAUAAAGCUUAAUCUUAGUCAUUGGUAAACAAAAUUGAAAAUAUGGAGAGGUUCAUUGUCAUUGUAGAUAUGUCCAACAGGUUCCAAGGUCAAUCCCUCACUACAUCUGCAAAACCUGCUAAUGGUAACAUCGUAGAACAAAGUGUGGGUGGAAAUGAAACAAAAAACACACAAGGACCAGUGUUACAUGAAACAAGAGCUAAAACAGCAACACCUCUAGUGAAACCAGCUUCUCCUAAGACUGGUUGAUUAUUAAUUACUCCUACCGUCUUAAUUAUGUUAUGUAAUUUGACUUAUUAUAAAAAAUCAAUAAAUAAAGAAAAAUCUAUGAAGAAAGUUUUCUUUA